AACAAUGUCGAUGAUGGCGCUCAUACUCCGGCGAAAAAUUCUCUCAAAACCCUACAUUUCUCAUCAAUCAUCGCUAUACUCCACGACGCCGGAGAUAAAGAGUUUGAAUAGUCAACGAAUUGAGAAAAUACUCAUAGCUAAUAGAGGCGAGAUUGCUUGUAGAAUUAUUACAACUGCUAAGAGAUUAGGGAUUCGUACUGUUGCAGUUUACAGUGAUGCUGAUAGAGAUAGUUUACAUGUGAAGUCUGCUGAUGAGGCUUUUCGUAUCGGUCCUCCUCCUGCUCGUUUGAGCUAUUUGAAUUCUUCUGCUAUUAUUGACGUUGCUAAUAAAUCUGGCGCCCAGGCUAUCCACCCAGGUUAUGGAUUCUUAUCUGAAAGUGCUGAUUUUGCUCAACUUUGUGAAAAUGAGAAUCUCUUAUUUAUUGGACCUCCUGCAUCUGCGAUUCGUGACAUGGGUGAUAAAAGUGCUUCAAAGAGAAUAAUGGGUGCAGCUGGGGUUCCACUUGUGCCUGGAUAUCAUGGUGAUGAGCAAGAUAUUGACUUUAUGAAGUUGGAAGCAGACAAGAUUGGGUAUCCUAUUUUAAUUAAGCCAACCCAUGGAGGUGGAGGGAAGGGUAUGAGGAUUGUUCAGAGUCCAAAUGAAUUUGCGGACUCAUUCUUGGGGGCCCAACGUGAGGCAGCUGCAUCAUUUGGUAUAAGUACAAUCCUACUGGAGAAAUAUAUUACUAAACCAAGACAUAUAGAAGCCCAG
RNAcentral lists this unclassified non-coding RNA (751 nucleotides) under Hevea brasiliensis (rubber tree). The record is from RNAcentral. Lineage: Eukaryota; Viridiplantae; Streptophyta; Magnoliopsida; Malpighiales; Euphorbiaceae.